This 293-nucleotide long non-coding RNA is filed under the name Zostera marina. RNAcentral's name for it is "long non-coding RNA (ZMAR_LNC005083)". The record is from RNAcentral. Lineage: Eukaryota; Viridiplantae; Streptophyta; Magnoliopsida; Alismatales; Zosteraceae.
UUAACGAUUCUCAACUCAUCUUGUCGCUAAAAAGCCUUGAAGGGGGCCGUCGUUGCGGACUUUAAGUCGCUCUUGAUUAGAGUGGACUAUAAACAUUAGUUCUAUCGCUUCGGCUAGAACUUGGUUCUAUCGCUCUGGCAAGAACCCGAUUAUGUCGCUAAAUAGCCUUAAUCGAUUCCGUCGCUUUGGCCGGAAUUUAUCUUGUCGCUUCGGCCUCGAUAACACAGUGCAGUCGCCCUUGAUCAGGGAAGGACUAUAAACAUGAGUUACCGUGGCUUGGAACUCGAUCCAUU